Molecule: long non-coding RNA, 873 nt
Organism: Mercenaria mercenaria
Lineage: Eukaryota; Metazoa; Mollusca; Bivalvia; Venerida; Veneridae
Exons: 6
Source: RefSeq, a predicted model, not a curated record
UAUAGCGAUAGGAAAUAGGCGCUUCCGCAUAAUCGGUAUGUGUCGCGCACUAAACUGUUUACGUAUGCACCGGUUAACAACAUCGAUGUGUUCCGGCACUCGCAGUCAGAAAGAAGCUGUGUGUUCACUGUUGGCACAUUGAAUGAUUGACAGCAUUGGAUAAAUAAUGCUCUAUUGGAUAAAUACGUAAAGUACAUUGGACAGCUGAGAUUGUGGUGUGGACAGCUGAGAUUGUGUUUUGGACAGCUGAGAUUGUGACUUGGACAGCUGAGAUUGUGGUGUGGACAGCUGAGAUUGGUGUGGACAGCUGAGAUUGUGGUGUUGACAUCUGAAAUUGGGAUUUGGACAGCUGAGAUUGUGACUUGGACAGCUAAAAUUGUGGUGUGGACUAUUGAUAUUGUGGUGUUGACAACAUAUUGUGGUGUGCACCUGUGAUAUUGUGGUGUGAUAGUUUAAAGUAGCAAAGGUAAAAAACGUUUGACAGCUUAGAUUGUGGCGUGGACAGCUGAUAUUGUGGUGUGGACAGCUGAGAUUGUCAUGUCGACUACUUAUAUUGUGGCUUGCAGAGCUGAUAUUGUGGUGUGAUGGUUUAAAGAACUAAAGAUUAAAUAUGAAGAUCAUAGUGUGUUUGAUGUAAGCAUAGACGAGGUGUGUGAGGACCUGAGAAAUGGCACGCUUCAGUUCAUAUAGAUUUAUUCCUUACUACCUUCCUGUCAACUAUAUCUUCCACAGCAUGAUUCAAUCUAGUCCCAAUCAUUGCCUCUGGUUACCUCACCAGAUGGUCCGUCCACAGAGUCACAAGCAACAGAUACUAAAACUCGGCAAAGUACAUGUACUUCAGACUUCCAGAGGAUAUUGUUAACAAUGAUGAUU